Molecule: unclassified non-coding RNA, 384 nt
Filed under: uncultured bacterium
Lineage: Bacteria
Description: contains 16S-23S intergenic spacer region
Source: RNAcentral
UCGGGCUCAUGGCGAUCUACGUCUUCGCGGUGCUCCUCGGCGUCCUGCCGCCGGGGAACAUGGGCACCAUCGGCGCGGAUUUUUCCCUGGCCGACCGUCUCCGCCACUUGCUGCUCCCGGCAGCGACGCUCGGCGUGGUCAUGGUCGCGACGUGGAGCCGCUAUACGCGUACGUCCAUGCUCGAGGUCAUCCAGGAGGACUAUAUCCGGACGGCGCGGGCGAAGGGGGUGGCAGCGGGUGCUGUCAUUCUCAAGCACGCGCUCAAGAACGCGCUCAUUCCGCUGAUCACGCUGGCGGGCCUCCAGCUGCCCCUCGUCUUCAGCGGCGUCCUCGUCACGGAGACGGUGUUCACCUGGCCGGGGAUGGGACGGCUCUUCGUGGAUU